GACGAACGCUGGCGGCGUGCUUAACACGUGCAAGUCGAACGGAAAGGCCCUGCUUUUGUGGGGUGCUCGAGUGGCGAACGGGUGGGUAACACGUGAGUAACCUGCCCUUGACUUUGGGAUAACUUCAGGAAACUGGGGCUAAUACCGGAUAGGAGCUCCUGCUGCAUGGUGGGGGUUGGAAAGUUUCGGCGGUUGGGGAUGGACUCGCGGCUUAUCAGCUUGUUGGUGGGGUAGUGGCUUACCAAGGCUUUGACGGGUAGCCGGCCUGAGAGGGUGACCGGCCACAUUGGGACUGAGAUACGGCCCAGACGCCUACGGGAGGCAGCAGUGGGGAAUAUUGCACAAUGGGCGGAAGCCUGAUGCAGCAACGCCGCGUGCGGGAUGACGGCCUGCGGGUUGUAAACCGCUUUCGCCUGUGACGAAGCGUGAGUGACGGUAAUGGGUAAAGAAGCACCGGCUAACUACGUG
RNAcentral lists this ribosomal RNA (468 nucleotides) under uncultured bacterium. RNAcentral's name for it is "partial 16S ribosomal RNA". It matches the Rfam family "Bacterial small subunit ribosomal RNA", at positions 28 to 507 of the family's 1533-position model. The record is from RNAcentral.